GGGCGCAAGGCUGGAUUCGAAGAAGGCAUAGAGCCACCUAGAAAACUCCCCUAUAGCCCCGGAGGGGAGACAAGAAGAACUCGACCGUGCUUCGACGAUGGUACGGUAACCCUACAACUAUAUUCAACAACCCGUUGCGGAAUCGCGUAGCUACUGGGGCGAAUGCCACUCCCUUGGGACGAAGAUCUUCGAUAUCUCUAGAUGGUCAUUUACAAGCAUCGCAGGGCUACUGGACCCAUCACCUCAUGGGAACAUUGCCCAUCGCGAAUUUAGCGCUGCCAAGCACACAUCAGCUCCUGCAAACGUUUCUGACAUCCAGCCCUGAAGUAUCAGCCAAACCCAUCCUUCUGUGGCCUUUUCUGCUUCCUUGAGACUUCUGUCGCCAUUUACAGAGCUGCACGAAAGCUGGCCUAAAUCACCCCCAACACUGAAUCAGUGCCAUGCAGACCGAUCGAAA
Molecule: long non-coding RNA, 457 nt
Filed under: Elaeis guineensis (African oil palm)
Lineage: Eukaryota; Viridiplantae; Streptophyta; Magnoliopsida; Arecales; Arecaceae
Description: long non-coding RNA (EGUI_LNC001792)
Source: RNAcentral